GACGAACGCUGGCGGCGUGCUUAACACAUGCAAGUCGAACGGACAGGCCCUGCUUUUGUGGGUUGCUCGAGUGGCGCACGGGUGAGUAACACGUGAGUAACCUGCCCUUGACUUUCUGAUAACUUCAGGAAACUGCGUCUAUUACCGGAUAGGAGCUCCUGCUGCAUGGUGGUGGUUGGAAAGUUUCGGCGGUUGGGGAUGUACUCGCGGCUUAUCAGCUUGUUGGUGGGGUAGUGGCCUACGAAGGCUUUGACGGGUAGCCGGCCUGAGAGGGUGAACGGGCACAUUGGGACUGAGAGACGGACCAGAAGCGUACGGGAGGCAGCAGGGGGGAAUAUUGCACAAUGGGCGGAAGCCUGAGGCAGCAACGCCGCGUGCGGGAUGACGGCCUACGGGUUGUAAACAGCUGUCGACUGUGACGAAGAGUGAGUGACGGUAAUGGGUAAAGAAGCACCGGCUAACUACGUG
RNAcentral lists this ribosomal RNA (468 nucleotides) under uncultured bacterium. Its description in RNAcentral is "partial 16S ribosomal RNA". It matches the Rfam family "Bacterial small subunit ribosomal RNA", at positions 28 to 507 of the family's 1533-position model. The record is from RNAcentral.